AGGAAGGAGAUUUCCAGGCAAGAAGGCCUGGCUGUAGGCUGCUGUGGACAAAGAGACUACUGGAAAGGCUAACAUGUUGACUUUUCCUAGGCAGAGGCUUGGAAUCCUGGAUAAAGCUGGAAAAGAUUUCAUCUAGAAUGGUUGGAGUGACUGUUGUGAUAAAGAACAGGUAGGGACCAAAGGAAGCCCAGGUUACUACUAGCUCUGAUUGGCCAAGGUACAGCUGCUCUGCGUAUAGCAUACAACCCCACCUCAACUCAAGUGAGAGAGAACAUAAACUCGGGAAAACAGAAGGAAACCUGAAGUAUAAUUGUAGGCUGCCAUCUAUUGGAAGGGGUUAAUGAGGAUACGAGCCUUCAGACCAUUUCUACACACAAGAGUAGAAAGAAAGCAAGUCUCUUGUUCAAGGACGUGGAUAUCACUCCAGACAAUCCAACCAGUUGCUGGCUGUGUAUUUUGGCUAUGGGGGACUCUGCUUAUCUGCAGACGUCUUUCUGUUUUGUUUCCUAAGUGGAAGAGUAGUAUUUGUUCCAGAAUGUUAGCACCUAUCGUUAUAAAAACUAAAUGUCCAAGCUGAAAUUUUUUUAUUGAAGAUUACCUUGUAAUUAUGAAAAUAAUGCAUACUAAAAUGAGAAUGCAAGGUAAAAUGGGGAAAUAAUAAAAGAUGCUACACUUGAUUAAGUCCUCAUGAAUCUAAUUAAAGUACUGUUUUUAUAUUCCUCAAGAUAACUGAAAAAUAUUUUUCAGUUAUGUUCAUAUUAUCCAACUAUUAUUUCCAACUAUUAAAGCUGAGUAGGAUUCUUAUGAAAAUAAGAGUCAAAUGAAUGAAAUAAGAUAUUGCAAAAAUAUCUGAAAUAAAAACAUCAAUGGAUAGAACACACUAGUUAAAAACAAGUGUGGUUUCAAAAGGCUGGAAGAAUAAAUUAUGGCCCUAAUUUUAGGAGAUUAGUAGAACAGUGAAUCAGAAAAAAGUAUACUGUGUGUAAUGUGGGGCACUUUGAGCGAUUUGGCUUCAGUCCUGUGGUCUGAAAAAUAUGUAUCAACUUUUAUACUUCAGACUAUAAUUUACAGUCAAGCCGUAAAGGACCUGAGGGCUACAAGAUUCCCUUUGAAUUCAGAGCAAACUACUAUGUCAUGUUCAAUAACAGAAAUGCUAUACUGAGUCUCAGCAUUGAGAAUGAAAUGGUUGAGGGACUGGAUGGCCCAAAGCAUUAGCAAUGAGGAUAAUGGACCCUUUGUUUGCUUCUAAGUUGUCCUGGGUGAAUUAAAGUUGUCAAUUUCAUAGCUGUGUGGUCAC
Long non-coding RNA from Mauremys reevesii (Reeves's turtle), 1297 nucleotides. RefSeq lists it as uncharacterized. The transcript has 3 exons. The record is from RefSeq and is a predicted model, not a curated record. Lineage: Eukaryota; Metazoa; Chordata; Testudines; Geoemydidae.